RNAcentral lists this ribosomal RNA (923 nucleotides) under viral metagenome. RNAcentral's name for it is "bacterial SSU rRNA". It matches the Rfam family "Bacterial small subunit ribosomal RNA", at positions 10 to 910 of the family's 1533-position model. The record is from RNAcentral.
AGCGUUCAUCCUGGCUCAGGAUGAACGCUGGCGGCGUGCCUAAUACAUGCAAGUCGAGCGCGAAGAUCAGGAGCUUGCUCCUGAGAUUCGAGCGGCGGACGGGUGAGUAACACGUAGGCAACCUACCCUUGAGAUUGGGAUAACUACCGGAAACGGUAGCUAAUACCGGAUACGACAUUCCUGCAUAAGUAAGAAUGUUAAAAGGCGGAUUUAUCUGCCGCUCAUGGAUGGGCCUGCGGUGCAUUAGCUAGUUGGUGAGAUAGUAGCUCACCAAGGCGACGAUGCAUAGCCGACCUGAGAGGGUGAUCGGCCACACUGGGACUGAGACACGGCCCAGACUCCUACGGGAGGCAGCAGUAGGGAAUCUUCGGCAAUGGACGAAAGUCUGACCGAGCAACGCCGCGUGAGUGAAGAAGGUUUUCGGAUCGUAAAGCUCUGUUGUAAGAGAAGAACGGGUGUGAGAGUGGAAAGUUCACACUGUGACGGUAUCUUACCAGAAAGGGACGGCUAACUACGUGCCAGCAGCCGCGGUAAUACGUAGGUCCCGAGCGUUGUCCGGAUUUAUUGGGCGUAAAGCGAGCGCAGGCGGUUAGAUAAGUCUGAAGUUAAAGGCUGUGGCUUAACCAUAGUACGCUUUGGAAACUGUUUAACUUGAGUGCAGAAGGGGAGAGUGGAAUUCCAUGUGUAGCGGUGAAAUGCGUAGAUAUAUGGAGGAACACCGGUGGCGAAAGCGGCUCUCUGGUCUGUAACUGACGCUGAGGCUCGAAAGCGUGGGGAGCGAACAGGAUUAGAUACCCUGGUAGUCCACGCCGUAAACGAUGAGUGCUAGGUGUUAGGCCCUUUCCGGGGCUUAGUGCCGCAGCUAACGCAUUAAGCACUCCGCCUGGGGAGUGCUUAAUGCGUUAGCUGAGGCUCGAAAGCAU